UAGUCCACACCGUAAACGAUGAAUGCCAGUCGUCGGAUAGCAUGCUAUUCGGUGACACACCUAACGGAUUAAGCAUUCCGCCUGGGGAGUACGGUCGCAAGAUUAAAACUCAAAGGAAUUGACGGGGACCCGCACAAGCGGUGGAGCAUGUUGUUUAAUUCGAAGCAACGCGAAGAACCUUACCUACACUUGACAUACUCGUCGGGACUUUCAGAGAUGAUUGUCUUCGGUUCGGCCGGACGAUGUACAGGUGCUGCACGGCUGUCGUCAGCUCGUGUCGUGAGAUGUUUGGUUAAGUCCAGCAACGAGCGCAACCCCUAUCGUAUGUUACCAGCAUUUAGUUGGGGACUCAUGCGAGACUGCCGGUAACAAACCGGAGGAAGGUAAGGAUGACGUCAAGUCAGCAUGCCCCUUACGCUCUGGGCUACACACGUGCUACAAUGGUCGUGACAAAGAGUUGCUAGUCUGCGAAGGCAAGCCAAAUCUCAUAAAAACCGGUCUAC
RNAcentral lists this ribosomal RNA (503 nucleotides) under uncultured bacterium. Its description in RNAcentral is "bacterial SSU rRNA". It matches the Rfam family "Bacterial small subunit ribosomal RNA", at positions 791 to 1290 of the family's 1533-position model. The record is from RNAcentral.